CCUACGGGUGGCAGCAGUGAGGAAUAUUGGUCAAUGGACGGAAGUCUGAACCAGCCAUGCCGCGUGCAGGAAGACGGCUCUAUGAGUUGUAAACUGCUUUUGUACAAGGGUAAACCUGAACACGUGUAUUCAGCUGAAUGUACUUUACGAAUAAGGAUCGGCUAACUCCGUGCCAGCAGCCGCGGUAAUACGGAGGAUCCAAGCGUUAACCGGAUUUAUUGGGUUUAACGGGUGCGUAGGCGGAUUGAUAAGUUAGAGGUGAAAUGUCCGGGCUUAACCCGGGAACUGCCUCGAAAACUGGUGAUCUAGAGAGUAGAUGCGGUAGGCGGAAUGUAUGGUGUAGCGGUGAAAUGCUUAGAGAUCAUGCAGAACACCGAUUGCGAAGGCAGCUUACCA
This 396-nucleotide ribosomal RNA is filed under the name uncultured bacterium. Its description in RNAcentral is "partial 16S ribosomal RNA". It matches the Rfam family "Bacterial small subunit ribosomal RNA", at positions 338 to 731 of the family's 1533-position model. The record is from RNAcentral.